This 25-nucleotide transfer RNA is filed under the name Rhizomys sinensis (Chinese bamboo rat). RNAcentral's name for it is "partial tRNA-Thr". The record is from RNAcentral. Lineage: Eukaryota; Metazoa; Chordata; Mammalia; Rodentia; Spalacidae.
ACUAACCCUGGUCUGGUUAGUAUGU